This is a non-coding RNA of Cololabis saira (Pacific saury), 387 nucleotides long. The record is from the annotation of a RefSeq genome assembly. Lineage: Eukaryota; Metazoa; Chordata; Actinopteri; Beloniformes; Belonidae.
AUGACUCUCAUCACCAUCCUCAUCUGGACGCUGACGUCCUGCUGCUGUUUUUCAGGAUGCAGCGGUCAGGUGACUGUGACUCAGCCUCCAGAAGUGUCGUUUUCUCCAGGAUCCACGGUCACUCUGAAGUGUACGACCAGCACAAACGUUGCUCUUUGCAGUGGUAAACAGUGCAUGUUCUGGUAUCAGCAGAAACCGGGUCAGACACCAAAGCUGCUGAUAAAACACGCCAACAUAACUCAUUCAGGGACACCAGCCCGGUUUGAGGGCAGAGGAAGCGGUUCUGACUUCUCCAUGACCAUCAGUGACCUUCAGCCUGAAGAUGCAGCAGUUUACUACUGUGAAAGCGUCCAUAUGAUAGAUAGUGUUGUUGUAUUCACACAGUGA